RNAcentral lists this ribosomal RNA (370 nucleotides) under uncultured eukaryote. Its description in RNAcentral is "partial 18S ribosomal RNA". It matches the Rfam family "Eukaryotic small subunit ribosomal RNA", at positions 592 to 976 of the family's 1831-position model. The record is from RNAcentral.
CAAUAGCGUAUAUUAAAGUUGUUGCAGUUAAAAAGCUCGUAGUUGGAUUUCUGGUCGGAAGCUCCUGUCCUCUGAUGAGCGUACAAGUGCGUCCUACCAUCCUUCUGUUGACCUUUAAGGCUUUCGCGGCUUUCUAGGGGCUCAGAUAUUUUACCUUGAGAAAAUUAGAGUGUUUCAGGCAGGCUAGCGCCGGAAUACAUUAGCAUGGAAUAAUGGAAUAGGACUUUUGCCUCUUCUGUUGGUCAUGAGGCUCGAGUAAUGAUUAAUAGGGAUAGUUGGGGGCAUUAGUACUUAACUGUCAGAGGUGAAAUUCUCGGAUUUGUUAAAGACUAACUUAUGCGAAAGCAUUUGCCAAGGAUGUUUUCAUUAA